Molecule: non-coding RNA, 76 nt
Organism: Myotis davidii
Lineage: Eukaryota; Metazoa; Chordata; Mammalia; Chiroptera; Vespertilionidae
Source: Rfam
GGCCAUUCUCGGGUGAUGCACCCCAGAAUUGGGCUCCCUCCUCUCUGGUUCUGGGGUGUGUCACCUGAGAACCACC